Molecule: long non-coding RNA, 1263 nt
Organism: Theobroma umbraticum
Lineage: Eukaryota; Viridiplantae; Streptophyta; Magnoliopsida; Malvales; Malvaceae
Source: RefSeq, a predicted model, not a curated record
ACCACACGAAGCAAGAUGGUUUUUAAGCACUUGGGAAAAUUCCAAGAAAUACAGUUACUUUAGAUUCCAAAUGAGAGAAAAAGGAAAUUAUCAAUGGAGGUGAAGGAUAUGGUCUUCAUGAACAAAGGAGAUGGAGAAAAACAGCUAUGUCAAGAUCGUGCAGGAUUGAUGCUAAAAGUGGCAGCCAUAACCAAAAUAAACAAGUAAAUUACUUGUAAACAUAUCCAAAAGAGAGAGGGUAGGAUCAUGUCGAGAUUGUCAAUCCUGCAGUCUUAACAUAGCUAUUUUCUCCUCUCCUUUGUUCAGAGUAUUUCCUUCGCCUCCAUUGAUAUUCUUUUUUUUUCUCUGUUUGCAAUCCAAAAUGAGAUGGUAUUCUGUUGAAUUAUACUUAAAAGAUAUAUAUUUUGUUUAUUUCUUUAAAUAGCUAUGUCAAGAGCUGGCUCCUAAUGGCCGUAUGGUCUUGAUGUUUAAUGGACGGCAAACUGCCGAUCCCACAAACAAAGAUAGCUGCUGCAAAUGGGAUCUUCUUGCAUGCUGAGGCCUUAUCCUACCUGGUUUCACAGUUGUAGGGAUUAAUUGAUGAAGAAAAAUUAGGGUUCCUUCAAUUUACCCUACGACAAUCCAAUCCCUCCCAAGAAGAAGUUGAGUACUUGGUAGGCACGGAAGGUUCUUUGACAACCGAGUUCAUUGACACAAUUGCACUGGAGAUUGGGUGUCAAAAUGGAUGGUCGAGCCUAGAAUGAAGAAUCAAAGGCUACAGAUGCCUUUCGGAGCCCAUUUUCUCACACCAGUUCGGGGAGGAGGUGAUGGACAAGCUAUACGACAAGGCCACACACGGCGGCGGAGGAUUCUUGUGGAGGAUUACAAACAUGGAAAAGAAGCAACCAAGACUAUUAGCAUUGCUGUUGUGCUGAAAAAGAAAGAACUCUGACUUGAAGCUGGCAAAGAAUCAGGACCAAUGGCAUAAAUAAUAGUAUGAAUUUGCUGUAAGGAAUAAGGAGAAAUGUCAAUUGACCAUGUCUAAGUCUUUAGAUUACGUAAAGCUAUGACAUGAAAGUAUCUUGAAACUUUGUUUUUCUUGAUACUAAGAUGCCAAGUGGCAUUAUAUAUAUAUAUAUAAUAUUAUCAAUUUUUUAUAAAUAAAUUGAAAAUGAUUAGUUGGGGAAAUUGGGUUUUGUAGAAAUUUGAGUUGUGAUAUAGCGGAACCUAAAACUAUUUAAUUUUGGCAUAUGCUUGCUGUAAAUUGGCAUGCACACAAAUGAA